RNAcentral lists this ribosomal RNA (253 nucleotides) under uncultured bacterium. Its description in RNAcentral is "partial 16S ribosomal RNA". It matches the Rfam family "Bacterial small subunit ribosomal RNA", at positions 524 to 776 of the family's 1533-position model. The record is from RNAcentral.
UACAGAGGGUGCGAGCGUUAAUCGGAAUUACUGGGCGUAAAGCGCGCGUAGGCGGCUUUUCAAGUCGAUUGUGAAAUCCCCGGGCUUAACCUGGGAACUGCAGUCGAGACUGUCUAGCUAGAGUAUGGGAGAGGGAAGUGGAAUUUCAGGUGUAGCGGUGAAAUGCGCAGAUAUCAGGAGGAACACCGGUGGCGAAGGCGGAUCUCUGGGCCGUAACUGACGCUGAGGAGCGAAAGCAUGGGGAGCGAACAGG